UUCAAGACAUACAAUAAUUAUCCCCGUAUAUUUUUCAUUUUGUUAGUUCUUUUUUCUCUCGUUCUUUUAAUCUUUUCCCCAUUCCAUUAUGUUUUCAUAUCCAGACCUCUCCCGAGAAGCCCCACCUAAUUCCUUCUUCGGAUCCCUCAAUUUCCACUCUUCACUAUUUUCUCCAAUCCAGAUUCAAAAAAAUAAUUUUUCCCGGCUGUAAUGGCACCUUGUUUCUAAACAACUUAUUAACUAAAAUUUACUGCAGUAACUAAAUUAAUUUUCAACACAUCUAAUUACUCAUUUUAACGGGUGCGGGGUUGAUCAAGUUGGAGGAAAAAACAAUUGAAGAAUUUGCUCACUGGAUCUGAUCAAACUUUCUCAUUGUUUCUGAGCGGAACCAAUCAUGAAUUCCUUUUCUUUCGGCAUGCGUCUUAGGUUAGUAACCCAACCCCAAUUAAAACUCAUGUUUCUUGUGCUUGUUAUUGGAUCAAAUUUGCAAAAUAUUAUCUGGGUCAUUGAUUUUUUUUUGCUGAAAUUUUCUGAUUUUCAGUCUGAAGUUUUAGAUACGAGCUCCUCUCGAUUUGGAUUCAUUAUAUAUAAUUCACUCAAAAUAAUUUUCGUUUUUCAAAUCAUUUUCGUUUGCGGUAUUUCAAAUUUUCAAAUCGAGCUUUGAAGCUUUAGUGGUUGAUCAAUCAUAGAAAGAAGGAAGUAAAAGAAGAAAGAAGAAGGUAGAAGAAGCCAUUAAUGGCUGAAUCCCAGAAGGAAGAAGAACAAGCAGUAUGAUGAAUGGCCAGUUUGGAUAAUCUUAGUAAAGUUAGGCUAAUUUCUUUGCAGACAAAAUGACCGACGGGCGUAUCGCAUAAUUAUUCCAUAAUAUUAUCGUUAGGGAAUUUCGUCUUUGAAAGGUAAUUAUAAUCAAAGAACAGUUAAACUAUGAAAUUUCUAUUUUGUGAACCAAAAAAUUAAUAUUUCUUUAUACUAUAAUAUAUCAAAAUUGAUUGUACAAUUUAACAUUUACGUUACAGAAUAUUUAAUUUAAUAAAAGGGUGCUAAUCAAUAUAUAUAUAUAUAUACUAGUUCCACCCAGGCGCGUGCCAAGACGGGUAUUAUAUUUUUAUCUUUUAAUUAAUCUUAUUUAAUGAAAUAUUAAACAUGCUUUUUUGAUAAGUAUUCAUAAUUAUUUAAGUUAAUAAUUAUCUAAUUGAAUAAUUUAAAUUAAAAUAUUAUUUUUGAGAAAUAAAUAUAUUGUCAGAGAAUUAGAUAUAUAAAUAAUUCUUGAAGAUAAAUAAUUUUUGAAGAUAAGUAUAUAAAUAAUUUUGAUUCGCCAAAAAUAAUAAAUCAAAAAAUAUGAUACUUUUAUGAAUUUGUUAGUAUAGAUAAAAUAAAUUUAUUUUGAUGAAAAAUCUUUUUUUCUUCUUAUAGAAUUAUUUACUACAACAAAUAUUUUUAUCACUUCAAGUUUAUAUUAAAAUAAUUAGAACAUUAAUUUAGAGUCUUAACACAAAUGACGAAUAAGGACAUUAAAUAGUAAUUAAAUUACAUAAUACAUUACUCAUUUACUUGUCAUAUUUAUUUUCUUACACGCCCUUUAAAGAAUAAACUUUUCUUCCCAUUAUAAUUAUUAAUUUACUUUUUUGAUGUCCACUAAGAAAAAUAGUAGUAAAUAUAAGAUAAUGCCUAUUAAGUUGUCCUAUUUAGUACUUAUAUUUUUUAAAAAAAAUUAAAUAAGAUUUGUAAAAGAUUUCAACCGUGUAGUAAAAAAUUAUUGCAAACGUUAAUUUCAUGUUAAAAGGUAUUUUGACGUAAUUUUUUUUCAAGUUAAAGUGAUUGUUUUUAAUAAAUAAAAGAAGUUAUAAUUAAAAGGCAAUCCAAUAAAUUACAAGAGGAAACCAAUUAUAAAAGGCCAAGUGAAGAUGGCCUUAACAAAAAAAGGAGAGGGCAAAAAUAAAAAUAUACAAGAAAAGGAAAUCAUCAAUGCACUACAAAUUUGACAUGUACAAUAACUUUGCUUAAAAAAAAGUGAAAUGUCUAAAAAGUCCUUGUGAGGACUACCAAACUUGUGAUUCUCCCUUAUAUAUAAGUACUAGUCUCGGGGGGGCCGUGCUAAGCUCGGGGCCAACCUCAAGAUCUAAAAAGUGAAAUGUCUAAAAAGUCCUUGUGAGGACUACCAAACUUGUGAUUCUUCCUUAUAUAUAUAUGUAUAUAUAUAUAUAUGUAUAUAUGUAUGUAUGUAUACUAGGUGGGAAUACACUGGGUAUGCUGUUGUUGAUAUGUAGGACAUACAACAAUAAAUAAUGUAAAUACAAAGUAAGAAAACAUGAAUGAAUGCAAGAAGAUGAUUUCAAUCAAACCUAAAAUAAGAAGAAAAGUAGAAGUAGAAGAAAUUGACUCACAAUUUUUAACUUCAUAAUUAUAAGUAAAGUUUAGCCGUAUCUUUAACAUCUCAAUAAACAUGGCCGAUGAGAUAUAAGAACAAUAUAAAUUUUAAUAAUAGUUAAUUUUUUAUUUAGACGAAUAUGAAUCCUUGUGGGUUAUUGCAUAUAGAUUCUAAAUAUAAUUAUAAGAUGUAGUUCUAACCAAAUUGAUUCUUAUUUACCUAUGUACGUAAUUCUAAUAAGUUGACUAAAGAAUCCUAAUUAAUUUAAGUUAUUGAUAUUACAUGUUUUUAUAUUUGGAAAAUGUAAGAAGCCCUAAUAUUCACUUUGGAAUUAACUAAAAUUGAACUUACUAAAUCUUUCCUUGUAAUUGUUUGAGUUAUGUUAAAAUUCAAAAAUUUUAAAAAUAAUGUAAAUUUUACAUUUAGAUUAAUUAUUGUAGGGUGUAGGUUGGUAGAAUCCUAUUCAACUCCUCCUUUAAUAUUUUAUAUUAAAAACUUAAAGUACUUAAACUUUACCUUAUAUAGAAAUCUGAGUAUAUGAUGUAUAAUUCCUUCAUGUUAGGUUUCUUUAUCUUAAUCAAAUAAAAAUUAACAUGGAAUUUGUGAUGCUUUUUUAUUAAUUAAAAUUUAAAAUUUACGUGUGUGGUUUUCACUUGUUAAAGGACAAUUUUCUUAAACUUUUCUUACCAUAUAUUUUAAGACUCCUUUUUCAUGUACACAGGGAUAAAACAAAACCUACUAAUAACAAUUUACCAUAUAUAUUUGAAUUACUUAAUUUUUUAAUAAUUAAUUAAUAAUUAAAGAAAAUAACUGAAAAGAUAAUUUUAUCUAUUGCGGAGUCUUUUUAUGAAAGGCAAAGAGUUGAAUCACUUUUCUAAGGGUCUUCACACUUUUAAUAUACUAGUUUAGGUGUACGCGCUUCGCGCGUGUAUCUUAGUUUAAUGAAUUCAAUUUUAUAAAAUCAUUCAAGAUAAUGAUUUUUCAAAAAGUGUAUUGCAUUUUUUGUUUGUUAGCAUCUUCACAUUACAGCUGCUUUCAGCUAUUAUUCAAUUCUAUGAAAAAAGUAGAAAUUAGCCAACCGAAAAGCAAGUAUCUUACUUUAAACACAAGAAAAUUUAUAAAGAAGAGUAUAUUCUCUUUAGUCCUCCCUUGAGCCAUUUUCCUUAGCUCUUGUCUCUUUCUUUAAUCCUCUCAAUCUCUCUUUUCAACUUAUUUAAUUUCAUAUCAACACAAUUAUUAUUUUGUUUGAAUUCUUUAGGCUUGUUAGCUUCUUCAGGAAAUUCCUUAACUAAUCUGUUCAACCCAAUUAAUUUCUCAACUUCAUUGGCUGAUGUAUGAUAUUCAAUAUGUUGGGAAGAUUCCUCGAAAAAUAUUUUUGUCAACUAACAUUUAUAUUUAGGAUUUUAUUAUAGUAGGUAGAUAGAUUAACUCAAUUUACAAUGAAUAAUGUACUUGAUUUGUCUUCAAACCUAAUUAGUAAGCCCAAAAUUGAAAGAGUCGGCUAUAAUACUAAAUUUAUAUGUUCAUCAUUCAAACAAAAGUUAUGCAAAUCAAGAUUCAACACUUAUUAUAAGCUUAUAUUUAGAACUCAACCAAUAAGUUUAAUUAAUAAUCCAAGUAUAAUACCAAUGAAAUAGUUAAAUAACAUAAUCAAAACAAAGUCACAAUUACAUAAAGGAAGAAAAAAAAAAGAGAUAAACCUUUGAUAUUUUUGACCACUUUACUUGAUGGCGACAUAUUUAUUUCUUUCAAUUUUUGAUUAAAAAUUUCCUAUUGAAAGAGAAACACGAGAAAUUAUCAAAAGAGAAAAUUAUAUUGUCAGUUGUGGAUGAUUUAAUCAUAAUUUAUAUCGUAUAAUCUUUAAAGUUAUUAACUAAAAAGAAUAAAGAAAGACAGAGAAGAUGAUAAUUAAUUAGGACUACACACACAAAAAAAGAAAAAGACAACUUGAAUUAAUAACGAAAUAAGGAGAAAAAAUAAAAGUAGAGCUAUGUUUCUUGUAAAUUUGAUCCAAAAUAUAUUAAUUAAAUAGAAUUGUAAUUUUUAUUUUAACCAAUUAAUUAAAGUUUUUAAAGAUUUAUUUAAGAUAGAAUUUUUAAUUGAUUUAAAAUUCCUAAAUUUUAGCUAAAAAAGAAAAAGAAAAAGAUAACUUGAAUUAAUAACGAAAUAAGGAGAAAAAAUAGAAGUAGAGCUAUGUUUCUUGUAAAUUUGAUCCAAAAUAUAUUAAUUAAAUAGAAUUGUAGAUUUUUUUUUCUUUAUAUAACAUAAAAUUUUAAGUGAUUUAGAAGUGUUAAAUAUUAUGAAUUCUUACUUAAAUUAAAUAACCAAAUCAAAAGAAGUUAUACCUAAAAUAAAUUGGGAACAAAACUUUUAGCAAAAAGGAUUCUUACGUGAAGAUAAAAAAUGUCAAAAUAGUACUCACCAAUUAAUUAAUAUUUUUAAAGAUUUAUUUAAGAAACAACUUUUAAUUGAUUUAAAAUGCCUAAAUUUUAGCUAUAUAAUUCUAAUAAGGAAAGGUUUAAGAACUAAAUUUUAAUGAAUUUUUAAGUUAUAAAUUUUUUUUAAAAUGUAAAAAUAUAUUUACGUCUAUUGCAUAUUUUUGUAAUGAAGGAUAAAAAGUUUAAAUUAUUUUUUUCAAGGGUUUUUACACUUUUAAUAUAUUAUAAAUAUAGAUAUAUAUAAAGGAGAAUUAAGACAGUUGUGAUGUGGCAUGUCCCUCCGUUCACAUUUAUCUUUUUUCUCUUUUUUUGACAAUUUUUUUAAUUUUUUUCUUUGUUUUCUACUCAAAAGGUUUAAACAAUAUACUAUCCAUUCAUUGAGUGUAAUUAAUAAUUAUUGUAAUUAAGCUAAUGAAAUUGAAAAGUCCCCAUCAACUAUAUAGUCUGCUGUCCAUCGUGCCAUCUCCCCUUUAUUAAUUUUGAGAAUAUUAAUUUUAUUACAUACUCAGAAAAAUCAACCGUCAUCUUUAAUAAUCUUAAGCAUACCACUUUAUUCUAUUAAUUACACCUUUUCCUUUUCUCUGAAUCUGUUUCAGAUAGAAUUUUUUAUAUACCAGGUAAAUGAGAACAAAUUGAACAUAGGUCUAAUUAUCUAAAAUGAUUUGUUGGAAUUUAUUAGCACAUGGAAAAGAUAUCUUAUUUCUCUUAUAAUUUAGGUAGUUGAAUGGUAUUUAAUGCAUCGUGCAAGUAUUCUUUUUAUUUUUUUGUUUUUAUUUCUUCUUUGUUCAUUAUUUUAUUUUCGAAAUGUUUUUAACUUCGUUUAUCUAUCUUUUUUUUUCGAAAGAAAAUUUUAUUGUGAUUUUUCUUAAGUUUUUGAUGAAUUAGAACGUUAUCGCCCGCAAGUUAUCAACAUUUUAUCAUUAAUUCAUGGUGUCAAUAGACAACAUUUAUUUGUUGCGCUUAUCUACAGAUAGCGUACGGGAUUGGCCAUCUGCUAGGAAAAAAUAGAUGGAUGAAUAAGUUCAUACUGUCCUUGAGAUCGUGAAUUGAUUUUGUUACUAUCAGUAUUUUGUGCUUUAAAUUAUGCUUUGAGUGAUAAAUAAUUAAAUGAUCUUAGUAUAGGUGCUUCAACUAUGAAUGACGGGGUCUUUGCAGGGAGUUAUUAUUUUUCUACUACUCCAAAUAGAAUUUUUCGUCAUUCACCUUCUUCCACAAAUUUUCUACUAAUAGAAUUUUUUUCAUCAUUCACCUUUUUUCACAAUUGUAAAUGCUAAUUAGGAUUUGCAUUUAAAAUACAUAAUCUGUCUUAGAAUAAAAUAUUGUUAUUAUGUAUAAAGCUGGACAUAAAUAAAGUGAUAUAUGACACUUUUCUACGACUAACGUUACUAUUUAUUUUUUUGUGAAAUUUUUGAUAGUUUUCGUCAAUUUCUUCCUUCAAAUAUUAUUUAAAUAAAGGCUUCUUGUAUGCAUUGAUUGUUAAAGAAAAAAAUAUCUCUGUGUUGAAUUUUAAGGUAAAGAAAUUGUUAUUUUCCUGCAUUAAAACUAUUCUAAAUUCAUUAGAAUUAUACAUUCAGAAAAGAAUUGAAUUGAAUAAUAAAAUUUCAGUUUCAAAAACCCCUCAUUUUCGGAUACUAAAUGAAAGAAAAAUGAUGAUUUUGCAAAUUAUAUUAUGAUACAAUAAAAAGAUUGAAGAAGUGAACAAAGAAACAAAUGAUUGGUGUUGUGAAGGCGAAGUUGCAGGUUGGCAUCGACAAACCAAUAAGUGAUCCACAUGAAGCAUCAAUUAUUCAGUAUCACCGGGCUUUUCUUUUUUGACUUUUAUUUUGGUGAAUUAUUCUUUAACAUGGUGAGCACAUAUCUAAAAGUACUGUUGAUCUUUAUUUAUAAGUCUGGAAGUGUGAAAUUGCGUUUGAAAUGUAUCAUUUCUGUGUGGUACCUAUAUUGCUUGAACCUUUUAAAAUUAUUGAUGUAUCCUCCAAAGUGUACUAUUUCUGAAGAAUUCAUAUAUAGGCGUUGAUAUUUUUAAAGAGUUUAAUUAACAUAAUGUGGUAUUGUGUAGCCUCUUUUCAGAUUUGAUUUGUGCAAGUAAUUUCAAAUAUACAUAUCAAUGAGAUGAGUGUGUGAAUAUUUGUGGUAAGUUAAAAUUGCACUGUAACGAAAAAAGUGACUAUUCACUUCGGUAUAUGUAAUUGAAAUUGUGCCAAGUAUGUCUGUCAAAAAGAGCGAAAAUCGUUUUCCCUGAAGUUUGUCUUAAAAAUCAAUCUCCAACUAUCAACAAUAAUCAACCUCCCCCCUUUAUCCCAUGCAAUAUCCAUUUUUUCCUUGUAAUAUGAUAAUGUUUAUGGACAUUGCAUAAAAACAUAAACAUUUAUCUUCAUUUUUAAAAAAAAAUCAUAUAACAAAAUCUUCAUAAAAACAUAAACAUUAUCUUCUAAGAAAAAAAUAACUAAUUAAGUAUAUAAGCUAAUGAUGAUCUUUAUGAAGUAAAUUAGCAUGAUAUAAGAAAAUAAGUUUUAUUAAUAAUAAUCAAAAAUAUAAUAUUUAUUUUACAAGUGAAAAUAAUAAGUAAUACUAAUUUUAUAAACAUAUUUCAAUGCAAAAAAUACGAACAAUAAAUGAAAGAGAUUAGUCUCUAGUAAAACCUUUAUUACAUAAAAUGGAGCCCACGUCAAAGGUGUUACGCCAUCUAAAAUAAUUGACAAAGGGUAUCAUGUUAGCUAAAAAGUUUGACAAAAAUACGCUAAAAUUUAGUUUAAGGGGUAAUAGGACCCCCGUGUAGUUGACGUGUGUCGUAGCAAAUCUGAUCAUAGUUCGGGGGCACUAGAUGUUUUUUUCGAAUAAAAAUAAGGUCAAAUUUUAAAGAUUAUAUUAUUUAUAUAAAUUAUAAAAUAUGUAAUACUCUAUUAAUGACAAUCACAACUUAUUUACUGAUAUAGACAAUAGAUAAUAUCGUUUCUUAUCACUUGAUCCUCA
Molecule: long non-coding RNA, 7779 nt
Filed under: Capsicum annuum
Lineage: Eukaryota; Viridiplantae; Streptophyta; Magnoliopsida; Solanales; Solanaceae
Description: long non-coding RNA (CANN_LNC001689)
Source: RNAcentral